RNAcentral lists this ribosomal RNA (506 nucleotides) under uncultured bacterium. Its description in RNAcentral is "bacterial SSU rRNA". It matches the Rfam family "Bacterial small subunit ribosomal RNA", at positions 28 to 525 of the family's 1533-position model. The record is from RNAcentral.
GAUGAACGUUGGCGGCGUGCCUAAUACAUGCAAGUCGAACGAAGACUGUAGUAAUACUGUCUUAGUGGCGAACGGGUGAGUAACACGUAGGAAUCUACCCUUAAGACGGGGACAACCCAGGGAAACUUGGGCUAAUACCGGAUGAGAGUGCGAGAGAUUGCAUUUAAAAGGAUGGCGAAAGUUAUCGCUUAGGGAUGAGCCUGCGGUCUAUUAGUUAGGUUGGUGGGGUAAGAGCUCACCAAGGCGAUGAUAGAUAGGCGGCCUUAACGGGUGGUCGCCCACACUGGGAUUGAGAUACGGCCCAGACUCCUACGGGAGGCAGCAGUCGAGAAUAGUCUACAAUGGCCGGAAGGCUGAUAGUGCGACGCCGCGUGAACGAGGGAGCCCUUCGGGGUGUAAAGUUCUUUUCUAUACGAGCAGUGCUAUAUAUAUGGAUAGUAUAUAUAGAGGGAUAGUAGUAUAGGAAUAAGCAACGGCUAACUCCGUGCCAGCAGCCGCGGUAAUCA